GACACCCAUCUUCUCCUAAAGAACUUCAAGCAGCCUAGAGUGUAACACAUCUGGAGAACAUCAGCCUUCAGCCAUGAAGACCCUUUUCCUUGUGUUUGCUGCUCUCUUGUUCUUCAGUCAAAUUAUUCCAGGAAGUUCUCAGCCUGCCCCUGAUACCUUAGAAUGCAGGAGGAGUCACCAUGGGUUCUGUAAAAAAUACUCCUGCCCUGGGCAGACUAUACCUACUGGAGGGACAUGUCAGUGGGGAUCCCUGCUUUGCUGUAAAUCUCCUUAUAGCCAGAGAAGGAGGUAACCAACUCAACCAUAGAGAAAGCACGACUUCUGGAUUCUAGAGAAAUACAUGCCGGAUUUGAAAACUGGUGGCUUCAGCUUCCAAGUCAAAAAUGAAGAGUCAUUUGUUUGGACUAUAAACAGACAUAAUGUUCACACUCCUCUCCGCCCUCUCCUCCCCUUUUUACACUUAUUCAUGUUUUGACUUAAGGGCAAGUUUCCAGAAAAUAUUAAGUAACCAGCUAGAGUUCUCUACACAGAAUUUUGGAAAUGAAAGUUAAUCCUAAAUUAAGAAAUAAUUAGGGAAAUUUUAGAAAUAGUCUGUAAUAUCAAAAAGUAAAGUUUAUGGAUAUUUUAAAGAAAGGGAGGCAAGAAGGAAGGGAAAAGAAAGAUUUACUUGCUUUUCUGGAACUCAGUGAAAGAAAUUUACAUUUUUAUUUACAAAAGCUAAAUUACAGAGCUAGUAGAAUCUAUUCUCUUCUGAUAUGCAUGAAAAUCUCAUUUAAAGACAUGCACAAUUAUGCACCUUCUGCUUCAUUUGCAUAUACUUGUGUCUUGUGCCUUCCAGCUUUUCUUCCCUCAAAAGUUUUUUAAAUCUAUCAACUCUCUUUCUAAAGAUUUUUAAAGAGAAACUUAAAAACUAAUAGAAACUAAUUUCAAGUAUGAAAAACAGGAAAAAGAAAUGAAUAAAAGAAAAACCUAAAAGUGCAAGAAAGAAAAAGAACUAAAACAGAGAUGAUAGAAAAGAGAAACAAAAAUGUAAUUUCUAACCUCCUUUAUAGUAGUUAUAAGUACAAUUAUAUAAUUGCAUCUUACUUUAUGGUUACAAUGUGUCUCUCUUCUUUGUAGAAUCUAUUCUGUCUAAUCAUCCAACCCAUAAAUUAUAAGUUCAUUUUUCCCCAUUUCAUGCAAAAAGUUCAUAAAAGGUCUCUAGACAGCAAUAAACACCGAUAGGUCUUUUCUCUGAUCAAAGAAGUCAUCCCUCCUCCCUCCAAAGCAGUGUAAAUUAUGAAGUCUGCAAUUUCAGGCAUGCCCAUUUUAGGAAUAUCACCAAUGAGAGUUUGAACAUAAAAAAAAUACUUUAUGCAUUUGCAGUGAGUGGUAUCUCCUUUUUUUCUGUUAAUAUUCCUUAGUCUUGUAAAAUGUUAUUAACAAACACAAAUAAAAUACAGAUCUUAAAGAAAUUUGAGAGUGUUUAUUACUGAUCUU
Ahaetulla prasina is the source of this 1479-nucleotide long non-coding RNA. RefSeq lists it as uncharacterized. The transcript has 3 exons. The record is from RefSeq and is a predicted model, not a curated record. Lineage: Eukaryota; Metazoa; Chordata; Lepidosauria; Squamata; Colubridae.